GCAAGUUGUCUCCUACUUCUUUUAUUAUUUUUCUCUCUUCUUCUUUCUUCCUCUUCUUGCACGAACACAGUGAGACAGGGAGAGAGAGAUCAUGAGAUUGAGAGAUGAGAGACAAAGAGAUGCGAGAGAGAGUGAGAGAUGAGAUACUGAGAGAGAGAGGGAGAGUCAGAGAUCGAGAGAGUUUGAGAGAGGGAGCUGAAGGAGAAGAAGAUCGGACCCGAUCUUCCGGUGGGUGAGUUGGGUCAACGCCGGCGACACAAUUUCUGGUGAAACCCGGAGGAAGACCUGCGACCCAUUGAGCCGUAACCCGGGAGGAGCUCCGAUCGUGAAGCCCGUGACCCGUAGACCCGAUGCAGCCCGUAGCUCAGGAGGUCUGAUCCUACAUGUCUAGCGACCAGAGUGAAAUCUGGCAGUCCCAGUGGUGGUUUCCGACGAACCCGUAACCCCGAACCCAUCAAAGUCGUGACCCAGUGAUCGAGAGCCAAUGACCCGUGUGUGUGUGUGCAACCUAGCCGAACCGUUACCCGAAGCACCCAGAAACCCGGUCCUCCAUGUGAUUUUCCAACGAAACUAGUGGCGUUUUCUCCGGUGGAUUUUCUGGGAAAAUCCUGAAAGUAAAAGCUCGACCCUGACGUUAAUGGCAAAUCCAGAUGACCCAGUUAGACGAAGUUAAUUCGUUGUAAUGGAGUAGACCUCGCUAAGAGCAAUAGUUCGCUGUGGACCGGCCCAACUUUUAUAGUGUAUAGUAUGUCCCUUUUUGGAGUUCAUGGCUUUGUAAAGAACUAUUAAUAGACAGGAAUAAUAAAAUAUGAAGUUUCAAUCUAUAUGUUGUAAAUGUACGUUUCCAUUUAAAUAUUUUUAGCACUCAAAUUCACGUUUCCCCUUAUAUCAUAAAACGGGGGCAUGACAGGUACCAUGGUCACUUAUUGCCUAGCGAAGAAGGCGGCUGAUAAUUUUGUGAAUGGUUGUUGGUUGGAUGUUCCUCCGAGUUGUAUUGUGAAUUUGUUGUUUAGGGAUC
Long non-coding RNA from Alnus glutinosa, 1018 nucleotides. RefSeq lists it as uncharacterized. Lineage: Eukaryota; Viridiplantae; Streptophyta; Magnoliopsida; Fagales; Betulaceae. The transcript has 3 exons. The record is from RefSeq and is a predicted model, not a curated record.